AGUUUGAUCCUGGCUCAGGAUGAACGCUAGCGGCAGGCUUAACACAUGCAAGUCGAGGGGUAUCCUAGCAAUAGGAGAGACCGGCGCACGGGUGCGUAACGCGUAUGCAAUCUACCUUAUACAGGGGGAUAGCCCAGAGAAAUUUGGAUUAAUACCCCAUAGUAUAAUUGAAUGGCAUCAUUUAAUUAUUAAAGUUCCAACGGUAUAAGAUGAGCAUGCGUAUCAUUAGCUAGAUGGUAAGGUAACGGCUUACCAUGGCUACGAUGAUUAGGGGUCCUGAGAGGGAGAUCCCCCACACUGGUACUGAGACACGGACCAGACUCCUACGGGAGGCAGCAGUGAGGAAUAUUGGUCAAUGGGCGCAAGCCUGAACCAGCCAUGCCGCGUGCAGGAAGACGCAUCUAUGGUGUGUAAACUGCUUUUAUACAGGAAGAAACCCUAUCUCGUGAGGUAGAUUGACGGUACUGUAGGAAUAAGGAUCGGCUAACUCCGUGCCAGCAGCCGCGGUAAUACGGAGGAUCCAAGCGUUAUCCGGAAUCAUUGGGUUUAAAGGGUCCGUAGGCGGUUUAAUAAGUCAGUGGUGAAAUCCCAUCGCUCAACGGUGGAACGGCCAUUGAUACUGUUAGACUUGAAUUAUUUGGAAGUAACUAGAAUAUGUAGUGUAGCGGUGAAAUGCUUAG
This 680-nucleotide ribosomal RNA is filed under the name uncultured bacterium. RNAcentral's name for it is "bacterial SSU rRNA". It matches the Rfam family "Bacterial small subunit ribosomal RNA", at positions 10 to 693 of the family's 1533-position model. The record is from RNAcentral.